CUUCCUUUUCCCCCACAUAUGACGGCCUAGGUGACCCACAAGGAGGAAACCCCAAACCUUAUCAGAGAUCAUCUCGUUCAUCUGUGGUUUCCCUAACCCUAAAGUUGGCAUUAUUAGGCACCAUCUUUCCUUUAUUGAAAGUGAUUGAAUUGGAAUCCAAAAUCAAGAUCUUGUAAAAUAUAAACAACAUUAUCACACACCCGAUAUACUUAAAGGAAAAAAGAAAGCGACUUUCAGGACAUAUUUUGAACCCGGAAGAAAACCAGACAUGAAGUUCUUGUUCCAGUUUCCUUGCUGUUCUUGUUUCUGCUUCAUGAAGCCUAAGCAGGGGAAACCAAAAGCGAAGGAUGCUCCUAAGGUGGAGAAAAACAAGGAAGUGAAAGCUGAUAAGGCAGAGUGAAUUUUCUUCUUCUUCUUCUCUGCUGCUGCUCAAGUAAGUUGUAUGUAAUAACUUUUGUUUAUCUAAGUUUGCAUGAGAAUGUUACCUUCUCAUUGUUAUAGUAUUAUUAUUGCAUUGUACUGAUAAUAAUAAAAAUGAUAUUUUAAUUAUGUUUUCAUCUUUGUAUUUUGGUUCGAUUCAUGUUCUGCAAAUUUUGGUUGUCGAUCUAUACCGUAUCAUUGAUCGAUGACUCUGUUUCGUUCUGAUUUUAUCGGAUGUCCUUGAAAGAACGGCCAGAUCUGCUGGUAUACCUACAAUUUUCUGUGAAUUCAUGGGGUCAGUUUUCAUGUGGGAUCUCGAUUGGUAUUUUCCUGAGAAUUUAUUUGGCAGACAAUUUCUGGCAUUCAAGAAUUCAAACAUUCAUAAGGUUUGAGUUUGUCGAUACAACAUUGUGGUUUAUCGUGAGCAGGGGAGCAAUCUAGUUUCACAAGCUUGAGCUUUACUCAACAUAUGAGAUAGCAUGUUUGAUCCAGCUUGAUUAUAUGGUAAAACCAAAGUUUUGAUUUUGUGAUUGAGGCACUAAAUCCCAUCAGUAAGGUCAAGAGUUCAAAUCUCAAAAAACUUUUAUAAAUGAAACAAAUUGGAUUUAAAGGAAUAUACUCUGCAGUAUCUAUUUGGAUUGAUUAAUAGACCAUUUAUUAAUAGACCAUUUAGUUUACUUGAUAUCUUGAGUUACUUGAAAAGGAAAACGUGUAAACUUUUAAAUAUCUAUUACCUCAACGAAAUAGGAACAUUGCCUGGACAGCCGAGUGUUAAUUUCAGACAAUUUUCUGGGUAUAUUGAUGUUGAUCCAAAUGCCGGCAGAAGUCUUUUCUAUUAUUUUGUUGAAGCCGAAAAGGAUCCAAUGAAUCUACCCCUCACAAUUUGGCUAACGGGAGGACCAGGUUGCGGUUCAGUCGGAGAUAGCUUUGUGUUAUGAACGGGAAGAAAAAGGGGGAAUUGCUGGGGAUUUCAAUUGAGGAGCUAGGGAUUUCAGUUGAGGAGUUAGGGAUUGAUCGUGGUAAAUUUGGGGGAAAAGAAGUCUUACCUGGAGCAGGAGGCCUGAGUUGUUAUUUGGAGCAGAACCGUGCAGUGAUACCCAACAGAGGAUGGGCUGGAACUGAAGAAGAAUGGUCUAACAAGAAGUGAUCCACCAAUUCAAAUCUGAUGAGGAGGAGUCCAACAUGUGAGCAGCAUGUGAAACAAUCAGUUAUGCCAGCUGUACAGAAUAAGUUUGUUAGAUUUUUGUACUGAAGAAUAUAAGGAGAAAAUGUAAUAGAAAAUCUAUUCUGGCAAUUUUAAUGAAAAGUUUCUUUUCUCUUCAA
Long non-coding RNA from Hibiscus syriacus, 1743 nucleotides. RefSeq lists it as uncharacterized. The record is from RefSeq and is a predicted model, not a curated record. NCBI's taxonomy places the organism in Eukaryota, Viridiplantae, Streptophyta, Magnoliopsida, Malvales, Malvaceae. The transcript is spliced from 2 exons.